Long non-coding RNA from Lethenteron reissneri (Far Eastern brook lamprey), 199 nucleotides. RefSeq lists it as uncharacterized. The record is from RefSeq and is a predicted model, not a curated record. NCBI's taxonomy places the organism in Eukaryota, Metazoa, Chordata, Hyperoartia, Petromyzontiformes, Petromyzontidae.
GAUCCUGCAGCAUCUCCUGGAACAGGGUCUGUCCGUGAGCUUCAGGAACCGCAUUCCUCUGGAUGAGUUUCAGAAGUUUCUCAUCUGGGACCAGAAGGAGAGCUGGGCCAACGACGUGUCGAAAGUGCGUCGCUUCAUGGAGCUGUACCUCAACGACCCCAUGCGGGAGAUUGAGGAGCCCUACUUCGCUCUGGAGGAG